Long non-coding RNA from Drosophila persimilis, 129 nucleotides. RefSeq lists it as uncharacterized. The transcript is spliced from 3 exons. The record is from RefSeq and is a predicted model, not a curated record. Lineage: Eukaryota; Metazoa; Arthropoda; Insecta; Diptera; Drosophilidae.
UUGGUUUAUUUGGAGGUGUGCGUUGAAUUUGGUUUUGAUUGGUUUGCUUGGAGGUGAUUUGGUUUAUACUUUCUGGAUUUUUGCUGUACCAUUGGAUCAAGUCUUAACCAUUCGGCUGGAGGACGCCUU